This 85-nucleotide transfer RNA is filed under the name Fulvivirga sp. RNAcentral's name for it is "tRNA-Leu". It matches the Rfam family "tRNA". From Rfam's summary of the family: Transfer RNA (tRNA) molecules are approximately 80 nucleotides in length. The record is from RNAcentral. Lineage: Bacteria; Pseudomonadati; Bacteroidota; Cytophagia; Cytophagales; Fulvivirgaceae. RNAcentral also lists the same sequence under 2 other names.
GCCCGGGUGGUGGAAUUGGUAGACACGCAGGACUUAAAAUCCUGUGACUAUUGCGGUCGUGCGGGUUCAAGUCCCGCCCCGGGUA